AUUGAACGCUGGCGGCAGGCCUAACACAUGCAAGUCGAGCGGAUGAAGGGAGCUUGCUCCUGGAUUCAGCGGCGGACGGGUGAGUAAUGCCUAGGAAUCUGCCUGGUAGUGGGGGAUAACGUCCGGAAACGGGCGCUAAUACCGCAUACGUCCUGAGGGAGAAAGUGGGGGAUCUUCGGACCUCACGCUAUCAGAUGAGCCCAGGUCGGAUUAGCUAGUUGGUGGGGUAAAGGCCUACCAAGGCGACGAUCCGUAACUGGUCUGAGAGGAUGAUCAGUCACACUGGAACUGAGAAACGGUCCAGGCUCCUACGGGAGGCAGCAGUGGGGAAUAUUGGACAAUGGGCGAAAGCCUGAUCCAGCCAUGCCGCGUGUGUGAAGAAGGUCUUCGGAUUGUAAAGCACUUUAAGUUGGGAGGAAGGGCAGUAAGUUAAUACCUUGCUGUUUUGACGUUACCAACAGAAUAAGCACCGGCUAACUUCGUG
This 484-nucleotide ribosomal RNA is filed under the name uncultured bacterium. RNAcentral's name for it is "partial 16S ribosomal RNA". It matches the Rfam family "Bacterial small subunit ribosomal RNA", at positions 30 to 507 of the family's 1533-position model. The record is from RNAcentral.